RNAcentral lists this ribosomal RNA (411 nucleotides) under Triticum aestivum (bread wheat). RNAcentral describes it as "partial small subunit ribosomal RNA". Lineage: Eukaryota; Viridiplantae; Streptophyta; Magnoliopsida; Poales; Poaceae. The record is from RNAcentral.
AUGAAAAGAGGGGAUUGGAUUCGUCCCCCGGUGGGUUUUGUGAAACUUAAUGUUGACGCUUCUUUUGAUCAUGAUCUUCUUAAAGGUACGGCGGGGGUUGUCCUGAGGAACGACAAAGGGAAGUUUAUUGCAGGGGGUACUUGGAAAAUUGAUCAUUGCAUCGAUGCUCUAACAGCGGAAGCUUGGGCUCUCAGAUUCGGUCUUUCACUAGUGCAACGUGCAGGUUGCAAUCGCCUAGUUAUUAAUUCUGAUAAUUUGGAGGUUAUUGAAACGAUGAAUAACGGCGGACGGUCAGCAGGAGCGGCGACGGCAAUCUUUGAUGAUUGCUAUUUUUUGGCGUGUGAUUUUCCUACCUCUAGGUUUGAACAUUGUAAUAGGGAAGCCAAUAAGGUUGCGCACGAACUUGUUUGA